RNAcentral lists this ribosomal RNA (463 nucleotides) under uncultured bacterium. RNAcentral describes it as "bacterial SSU rRNA". It matches the Rfam family "Bacterial small subunit ribosomal RNA", at positions 331 to 792 of the family's 1533-position model. The record is from RNAcentral.
CCAGACUCCUACGGGAGGCAGCAGUGAGGAAUAUUGGUCAAUGGUCGGGAGACUGAACCAGCCAAGCCGCGUGAGGGAUGAAGGUACAGAGUAUCGUAAACCUCUUUUGUCAGGGAACAAAGGCGGGGACGCGUCCCCGGAUGAGUGUACCUGAAGAAAAAGCAUCGGCUAACUCCGUGCCAGCAGCCGCGGUAAUACGGAGGAUGCGAGCGUUAUCCGGAUUUAUUGGGUUUAAAGGGUGCGCAGGCGGUCUGUUAAGUCAGCGGUCAAAUGUCGGGGCUCAACCCCGGCCUGCCGUUGAAACUGGCGGCCUCGAGUGGGCGAGAAGUAUGCGGAAUGCGCGGUGUAGCGGUGAAAUGCAUAGAUAUCGCGCAGAACUCCGAUUGCGAAGGCAGCAUGCCGGCUCCACACUGACGCUGAGGCACGAAAGCGUGGGUAUCGAACAGGAUUAGAUACCCCCGUA